Molecule: ribosomal RNA, 460 nt
Filed under: uncultured bacterium
Lineage: Bacteria
Description: partial 16S ribosomal RNA
Rfam family: Bacterial small subunit ribosomal RNA
Source: RNAcentral
CCUACGGGGCGCAGCAGUGAGGAAUAUUGGUCAAUGGACGAGAGUCUGAACCAGCCAAGUAGCGUGAAGGAUGACUGCCCUAUGGGUUGUAAACUUCUUUUAUAUGGGAAUAAAAUGUUCCACGUGUGGGAUUUUGUAUGUACCUUAUGAAUAAGGAUCGGCUAACUCCGUGCCAGCAGCCGCGGUAAUACGGAGGAUCCGAGCGUUAUCCGGAUUUAUUGGGUUUAAAGGGAGCGUAGGUGGAUUGUUAAGUCAGUUGUGAAAGUUUGCGGCUCAACCGUAAAAUUGCAGUUGAAACUGGCAGUCUUGAGUACAGUAGAGGUGGGCGGAAUUCGUGGUGUAGCGGUGAAAUGCUUAGAUAUCACGAAGAACUCCGAUUGCGAAGGCAGUUCACUGGACUGCAACUGACACUGAGGCUCGAAAGUGUGGGUAUCAAACAGGAUUAGAUACCCCAGUAGUC